UGCCUCAUUCACCAACGGAAG
This 21-nucleotide non-coding RNA is filed under the name Caenorhabditis elegans. Lineage: Eukaryota; Metazoa; Nematoda; Chromadorea; Rhabditida; Rhabditidae. The record is from RNAcentral.